CUCAGAUCUCCUGGCUCCACAAACCACAUCAAACCACCUUCUGUCUGAGCCUACUGGAGUUCAUUAAGCUAAAGGAUUACACUAAGAAGGGAAGGGAAGAAGCUGAAGGAUGGGAUUGACCUGGCUGACUGAGGAGCACAGACCCUGUUGGAGUGAAGAAUUUUGUCUGAGCUUUGCCUUUGUAAUGAGGCCAUCUUCAUGGUGACCCCAGGCUGGAGAGGCCACCCUAGGGCAUCCCUGCCUUGCCUGUUCUUCUUGGUCUUAAGAAACCAACUCUCUUUGGGAGGCCGAGAUGAGGAUGAGGAAGACAAUUGCUGAAUUGGGACUGGCUGAAUCUACUUAUGAUUUCAUCAGUCAGUGUUUACAAGUGUGCAGGUUAAACCUAGGAUGACUGAACAGAAAGCAGACUUAGCAAGAGGUUCCCUCUAGCUUUCAUCAAGUACUCAGAGGGAUCCAUGACCUCAAAGGUUAAGAACCACUGAAAGAGCAGGAUUUAAGGUAAAAGUAGCUCUCUUGGGUCAGACAGCUGUGCCCAAGGCGAAUUAUUGCUCUUCUGGACUCUGAAGGGCCCAGUUUGACAC
This 581-nucleotide long non-coding RNA is filed under the name Homo sapiens (human). Its description in RNAcentral is "HSALNT0351314". The record is from RNAcentral. Lineage: Eukaryota; Metazoa; Chordata; Mammalia; Primates; Hominidae.